AGUGAACGCUGGCGGCAGGCCUAAUACAUGCAAGUCGAGCGGCAGCACAGCAGAGCUUGCUCUGUGGGUGGCGAGUGGCGGACGGGUGAGGAAUACAUGGGAAUCUGCCCAGUCGUGGGGGAUAACGUAUGGAAACGUACGCUAAUACCGCAUGCGCCCUUUGGGGGAAAGCCGGGGACCUUCGGGCCUGGCGCGAUUGGAUGAGCCCAUGUUCGAUUAGCUAGUUGGCGGGGUAAAGGCCCACCAAGGCGACGAUCGAUAGCUGGUCUGAGAGGAUGAUCAGCCACACUGGGACUGAGACACGGCCCAGACUCCUACGGGAGGCAGCAGUAGGGAAUAUUGGGCAAUGGGCGCAAGCCUGAUCCAGCCAUGCCGCGUGAGUGAAGAAGGCCCUCGGGUUGUAAAGCUCUUUUGUCCGGAAAGAAAAGCAUUCGGUUAAUACCCGGGUGUUCUGACGGUACCGGAAGAAUAAGCACCGGCUAACUUCGUG
Molecule: ribosomal RNA, 490 nt
Filed under: uncultured bacterium
Lineage: Bacteria
Description: partial 16S ribosomal RNA
Rfam family: Bacterial small subunit ribosomal RNA
Source: RNAcentral